RNAcentral lists this ribosomal RNA (393 nucleotides) under uncultured bacterium. Its description in RNAcentral is "bacterial SSU rRNA". It matches the Rfam family "Bacterial small subunit ribosomal RNA", at positions 28 to 418 of the family's 1533-position model. The record is from RNAcentral.
GAUGAACGCUAGCGGCAGGCUUAAUACAUGCAAGUCGAGGGGCAGCAUAAGUAGCAAUACUUGAUGGCGACCGGCAAACGGGUGCGGAACACGUACGCAACCUUCCUUUAAGUGGGGAAUAGCCCGGGGAAACCCGGAUUAAUACCCCGUAAUAUUAUGAUGUGGCAUCACUUUAUAAUUAUAGAUUCAUCGCUUAAAGAUGGGCGUGCGCCUGAUUAGGUAGUUGGCGGGGUAACGGCCACCAAGCCUGCGAUCAGUAACUGGUGUGAGAGCACGACCAGUCACACGGGCACUGAGACACGGGCCCGACUCCUACGGGAGGGCAGCAGUAAGGAAUAUUGGUCAAUGGACGCAAGUCUGAACCAGCCAUGCCGCGUGAAGGAUGAAGGCCUU